GACUGAAACUGACGCUGAGUCACGAAAGCGUGGGGAGCGAACAGGAUUAGAUACCCUGGUAGUCCACGCUGUAAACGAUGAGUGCUAGGUGUCGGGGGGAGACUCUCGGUGCCGCAGCUAACGCAAUAAGCACUCCACCUGGGGAGUACGGUCGCAAGA
This 159-nucleotide ribosomal RNA is filed under the name uncultured Eubacterium sp. RNAcentral's name for it is "partial 16S ribosomal RNA". It matches the Rfam family "Bacterial small subunit ribosomal RNA", at positions 732 to 893 of the family's 1533-position model. Lineage: Bacteria; Bacillati; Bacillota; Clostridia; Eubacteriales; Eubacteriaceae. The record is from RNAcentral.